This 212-nucleotide unclassified non-coding RNA is filed under the name Hevea brasiliensis (rubber tree). Lineage: Eukaryota; Viridiplantae; Streptophyta; Magnoliopsida; Malpighiales; Euphorbiaceae. The record is from RNAcentral.
GCAAAACGAUGGUAUGAGAGCUGCAGUCUUUGAUUUCAAACCCCGGUUGCGACUUGGAUGAGGUGGAUGUCAAUGCCUUAGUUCUGUGCUCGGUCUAAUGUUUCUGAAGGAACCGAGCACCGAGCUAUAGUGUUUGAACCUCACAGCUUGAAUCUUCAUCAUGUUUGGCUAACUUGGUUAGGAUAGGUUAGAAAUUUUACAUCAACUUUGAA